AAUCAACGCUGGCGGCGUGCCUCAGACAUGCAAGUCGAACGAUUAAAGCUCCCUUCGGGGAGUGCAUAGAGUGGCGCACGGGUGAGUAACACGUAAGUAAUCUACCUUUGAGUGGGGAAUAACAGUCGGAAACGGCUGCUAAUACCGCAUAAUGCAGCGGCAUCGCAAGAUGACAGUUGUUAAAGGAGCAAUCCGCUUAAAGAGGAGCUUGCGGCAGAUUAGCUUGUUGGUAAGGUAACGGCUUACCAAGGCUACGAUCUGUAUCCGGUCUAAGAGGACGGUCGGACACACUGACACUGAAUAACGGGUCAGACUCCUACGGGAGGCAGCAGUCGGGAAUUUUGGGCAAUGGGCGAAAGCCUGACCCAGCAACGCCGCGUGAAGGAUGAAGUA
RNAcentral lists this ribosomal RNA (393 nucleotides) under uncultured bacterium. Its description in RNAcentral is "bacterial SSU rRNA". It matches the Rfam family "Bacterial small subunit ribosomal RNA", at positions 32 to 415 of the family's 1533-position model. The record is from RNAcentral.